AGAGUUUGAUCCUGGCUCAGGACGAACGCUGGCGGCGCGCCUAACACAUGCAAGUCGAACGAGAGAGAGGAAGCUUGCUUCCUCAAUCGAGUGGCGAACGGGUGAGUAACGCGUGAGGAACCUGCCUCAAAGAGGGGGACAACAGUUGGAAACGACUGCUAAUACCGCAUAAGCCCACAGGUCGGCAUCGACCAGAGGGAAAAGGAGCAAUCCGCUUUGAGAUGGCCUCGCGUCCGAUUAGCUAGUUGGUGAGGUAAUGGCCCACCAAGGCAACGAUCGGUAGCCGGACUGAGAGGUUGAACGGCCACAUUGGGACUGAGACACGGCCCAGAAUCCUACGGGAGGGA
RNAcentral lists this ribosomal RNA (347 nucleotides) under uncultured bacterium. Its description in RNAcentral is "bacterial SSU rRNA". It matches the Rfam family "Bacterial small subunit ribosomal RNA", at positions 8 to 350 of the family's 1533-position model. The record is from RNAcentral.